RNAcentral lists this ribosomal RNA (479 nucleotides) under uncultured bacterium. Its description in RNAcentral is "partial 16S ribosomal RNA". It matches the Rfam family "Bacterial small subunit ribosomal RNA", at positions 32 to 523 of the family's 1533-position model. The record is from RNAcentral.
AAUCAACGCUGGCGGCGUGCCUAACACAUGCAAGUCGAACGAGAAAGGGGCUUCGGCCCUGAGUAGAGUGGCGGACGGGUGAGUAACACGUGGGUGAUCUACCCUCCAGUGGGGGAUAACACAUCGAAAGGUGCGCUAAUACCGCAUGGCGUUCCGGUUGUCGCGAUCGGAAUGAAAGCAGCAAUGUGCUGGAGGAGGAGCCCGCGCCGGAUUAGCUAGUUGGUGGGGUAAUGGCCUACCAAGGCAACGAUCCGUAGCCGGCCUGAAAGGGUGACCGGCCACACUGGAACUGAGACACGGUCCAGACUCCUACGGGAGGCAGCAGUGGGGAAUUUUGCGCAAUGGGGGAAACCCUGACGCAGCAACGCCGCGUGGACGAUGAAGGCCUUUGGGUCGUAAAGUCCUGUCAGCAGGGAAAAACACAAUGAUGGUACCUGCAGAGGAAGCUCCGGCUAACUUCGUGCCAGCAGCCGCGGUAA